UACGUAGGGGGCUAGCGUUGUCCGGAAUCAUUGGGCGUAAAGCGCGCGUAGGCGGCCCGGUAAGUCCGCUGUGAAAGUCAAAGGCUCAACCUUUGAAUGUCAGCGGAUACUGCCGGGCUAGAGUCCGGAAGAGGCGAGUGGAACUCCUGGUGUAGCGGUGGAAUGCGCAGAUAUCAGGAAGAACACCAACGGCGAAGGCAGCUCGCUGGGACGGAACUGACGCUGAGGCGCGAAAGCUGGGGGAGCAAACGGG
RNAcentral lists this ribosomal RNA (253 nucleotides) under uncultured bacterium. RNAcentral's name for it is "partial 16S ribosomal RNA". It matches the Rfam family "Bacterial small subunit ribosomal RNA", at positions 524 to 776 of the family's 1533-position model. The record is from RNAcentral.